This 320-nucleotide ribosomal RNA is filed under the name uncultured Prevotella sp. RNAcentral's name for it is "partial 16S ribosomal RNA". Lineage: Bacteria; Pseudomonadati; Bacteroidota; Bacteroidia; Bacteroidales; Prevotellaceae. The record is from RNAcentral.
GGAGUCUGGUCCGUGUCUCAGUACCAGUGUGGGGGACCUUCCUCUCAGAACCCCUACUGAUCGAAGGACCGGUGGGCCGUUACCCCGCCGGCUUCCUAAUCAGCCGCAUCCCCAUCCCUCGGCGAUCAAUCUUUACUCCUCUUCAGAUGUCCUCGAAGGAGACCAUAGGGCAUUAAUCCGGUUUUCACCGGGCUAUUCCCAAGUUAAGGGAAGGUUGGAUACGCGUUACUCACCCGUGCGCCGGUCGCCAUCAUCGGUUGCAAGCAACCAACAUGCUGCCCCUCGACUUGCAUGUGUUAAGCCUGUAGCUAGCGUUCAUC